AUUCUUGGACGAAGGGGGAAACCCUGAUCCAGCAAUGCCGCGUGCACGAGUAACGCCUUCCGGUUUUAAACCCCUUUUUUACGCCACGCUAAGCCUUGGUCUAAUACCCGUAGAUCAUGACGAUCACGUAAGAAAAAGCACCUGCGAACUACGUCCCAGCGGCCGACGUAAUACGUAGGGUGCAAGCGUUAAUCGGAAUUACUGGGGGUAAAGCGUGCGCAGGCGGUUUUGUAAGACAGUGGUGAAAUCCCCGGGCUCAACCUGGGAACUGCCAUUGUGACUGCAAGGCUGGAGUGCGGCAGAGGGGGAUGGAAUUCGGCGUGUAGCAGUGAAAUGCGUAGAUAUGCAGAGGAACACCGAUGGCGAAGGCAAUCCCAUGGGCCUGCACUGACGCUCAUGCACGAAAGCGUGGGGAGCAAACAGG
Molecule: ribosomal RNA, 424 nt
Filed under: uncultured bacterium
Lineage: Bacteria
Description: partial 16S ribosomal RNA
Rfam family: Bacterial small subunit ribosomal RNA
Source: RNAcentral